RNAcentral lists this long non-coding RNA (7250 nucleotides) under Nicotiana tabacum (common tobacco). Its description in RNAcentral is "long non-coding RNA (NTAB_LNC017416)". Lineage: Eukaryota; Viridiplantae; Streptophyta; Magnoliopsida; Solanales; Solanaceae. The record is from RNAcentral.
UUCUACGCAUCUUUAAUUGUAACGAAUGUCCCGAAUGUCCCUCAGAGAAUUAUGUGUACAAAGAACUACAUGUGUGUGUACGUGUGGUGGUAAUAGAUUAGCAAACACCAGGUUCAAAGUGUAUUUUGGGUACUCUAAAGCAUAUAUUCAAUCUGAUGAUGAAAUUAUUGAUACUCCUACUAUAUGAUUUGGUAACAUUUUACUGAAAACCAGGAGGAAAAAACAACAAAUUCAGAAAUGAUUUUCUGAAAUUUGUAUACGGUCGAAAUUGGAGAGCUCGAUAUCAAAGACUUGAUCAUACCCCGAGCUCGAGUUCAAGAAGCUCGAAUUAAGAAUCGAGCCUGACCGAGAUGUGCGCACCUUGAGAAGCAAAUUGGAGACUCGUCAUGAUCUCCCUCGAGGGAAGUACAAUUUUGAUGACACUCAAGAAAGGGCAGAAAUUUCUCAAGAAUACGUGGAUCAGGGCAUAAAUUAUGGUAUAAGAUUUGUACGAAAUAGUACGAGUCCGUACUAGGUUGUUAUACAGUUGUACCAAUAGAAUUCUUUACCAUAAUAGUAAAUGUACCAUAUUAGAGUUUUCCCCUCCUGGAUAAAGGGGACCCCAAUCAUGUGUAAAGUGUAAAGUGUUAGAAAGAGUCAUGCGUAUUGUUAUAGUAUUCUUUAUGAAUAAUUAUUUAUUUACUUGUUUAAAUUCAAUAAAGUUUCAUUUUAAAUAGAUCAUGUGUUGGUUUGUGCGUCCAUUGCUUACAUAGUAGAUGAUUUAGUGUAUAGAGUUUAGCUUAUACACGGAAGAUUAAAUCAUCGGUUCUUGUAAGACAUAAAAGUUAAUGUUCACAAUCUAAUGAUGGAAUUGGACAAAUCAUCGAAAUGAUUGUAGCACAAGAUUAAAUAUAAUUUAUCUUGAUUAUGGGAAUGGUUUAAUUCCAACUUCCUAUGCUAGUACAUUUUGUAUGUAUUGAACGGAUCAAGUAGAGAUGAGUAUUUUAUACUGACUUUAUAAAAUAAUUUCUCUAAUCCAUUUAAUGUACUUAUACUCUUAAUCCUGAUAUAAUUAUUAUUAGUUGUGUAUGUCACUUGUUGUUUUGAUUUAUUAAAAGGCGAGAUUCUUUCGCGAGUCAAUAAGCCUGGUAAAUUGGAUAACAGUGAUAUACAUUGGCGAAGUAAUAAUUAGUUGAUGGAAUCCAUGUCUCGAUUUUGAGAUUGAUGAUACUCCUUUAUGAAAGCUUAUAAGUUUUCAUGUGUAAACCCGGCUGGUGGAUUUUAUAUCCGACACAUGAAAUAAGUUAAGUGUAAGUCUAAAGGAAGUAAUCAAUAAAUUAAAUAGUCAGUAAUUUAAUUUGUUUGAUUAGUAUCUGAAUCUUAACAUGGGGAGUUAAAUAAGGUUUUAUGGAAGAAUUUCGAAAUUGAACUAAGGAGUGCAAUUACGAAUUUUUAGUGAAAUAAUUCAUAAUUUAUUAUGAUGGAAAUUAGUUUCAGAAUUUCGAAAUUAAUAUCAUAAUAGGAAGCCUUGUUAAUUAAAUUCUGUGGCCCCUACUGUGCCUAAAUAAUAGAAAAUAGUGGAAACUGUUACUUGGUGAGAAAGAAAACGUGGAAACCGCCCCUUAGUGGGAGAAGGAAACCUAACAGGUUUUGAAAACGGUUUUGACCUAAAAAACGCAGCUAUAUAUAUGGAUAUAAGGNNNNNNNNNNNNNNNNNNNNNNNNNNNNNNNNNNNNNNNNNNNNNNNNNNNNNNNNNNNNNNNNNNNNNNNNNNNNNNNNNNNNNNNNNNNNNNNNNNNNNNNNNNNNNNNNNNNNNNNNNNNNNNNNNNNNNNNNNNNNNNNNNNNNNNNNNNNNNNNNNNNNNNNNNNNNNNNNNNNNNNNNNNNNNNNNNNNNNNNNNNNNNNNNNNNNNNNNNNNNNNNNNNNNNNNNNNNNNNNNNNNNNNNNNNNNNNNNNNNNNNNNNNNNNNNNNNNNNNNNNNNNNNNNNNNNGACAUAGAUUUGUUGUGUUUACGCUUCAAGAGGUAAUCCUAAAAUCUCCAUACGUGCUAGUUGUUUAGAUUACACGUGAAUAAGAUUCUGUUAUUGCUUCCGCUGUGGUAUAUAUUCCUACAUAAAGAUCAUCUCAUUCUCUGCAAAAAGGAACAUUCUACCUUGCUUUCCUCAUUUACUGUGCUCCACAACUGUUCUUCAGCUUUAUUGCUAUUAUUUUAUUGUUCAUACUUAUUUGCUCUAGACCCACCUUGAGGCCCCUGAGAUUAUCGAGCUCGAGGUCCCCAUUGCUUUGGUAAUAUUGGUUUAGUUCACCAAUUCUUUUUACUUACACUUAGUAUUACUUGCUUAUUUGAUAGUAUUGAAAUAAAUCACAUAUCUUUAAAACCACAAAUCAUAUUUAAUUAUUACUCUUAAUUUUUAGGGUAAACAGUUUGGCUGUAUUAGUGAUUAUUUUAGUGCUAGUUUUUCUGAUAACACACGUUAUUAUUCACACUUUUUCUUGUCAAAGAUUCUUUGAUUUCAGGCUAAGAUAUGUCUAACUCAACAAACGCACCCAUGCAUGAAAACGACGGUCUCGAAUCCCUUGGAGAAAACAAUGCAGUAGCUUCAAGGACCGGUGUGCCACCGCUAAACCCUGGGGUAGCACCAGCGCCUAACCCCGUCGAUGUUGGUUCACACAUUACCUUGAACGUCGAUUUGGUCACGGAUGUCGAAUGAAGUGUACGCGGAGGGGAUCAACCUGACGCUCAAAGGACACAGGCUCAAGGAGAAAGAGAAGUCAGUCCACAAGUGAUUUUUGAGAUGUUGCAAGCACAACAAGUUGUUAUCGCCCAGUUACAAAGUCAGCAAAAGACUCUGAGCGUGGCUGGGCCAGAAACUGCUCAUCGUGUUAAGACAACCCACCUCACACCCCCACACCCACCCACCCAACCCUAUCCCACGCCUUUCCACCCCAUCCCACUGCACAUACCAAUUACCUCCAUGUUGGAUGUAGUAGUAAGAAAUAUCAGCCAUUAGUGUUGAAAUAUAUAUAUAUAUAUAUAUUUCUUGGAGAAGCUCCAAAUGUAAUUGGAGUAUAUAUAAAAUGUUUUUUCAUUCUUUUUCUCCAGAUGAAACUCCUUAUACAAGAAAAGAUGCAUACAAGAACAAUCUUGUGUCAACAUAGGUACACAAGAUAUGCAUGUCUCAAGGACAAGAAAUAAGCAAAAUGGUAUGGAGAAAUUAAGCUCUUGAUCGAUAAAAAGGAGUGAGAAUUGAAAGAAUGAAAAAAUGAGAUCUUUAAAAUAAGAAAAAACAAUUAUUCUUUGAGCUAAGUUUGCAGAGAUCUAAAGCUUGAAUCAUUUCCAUACGUAACUCAAAUUAAUUUGCCAUAAUGAACAGAGAGAAAAACAUUUCACGCACUGCAAAAAAUAAUGCAUGGAAGAAAGUGAAACUAAAGGAAAUUUUCAUUAUUUUUCUUACUAAAUAUUCCUCUUUUUUAUGCUAUGUAAAAAACCAACAUAAACAGACCUGAUUGGCUUCAAUGGAAAAUAUUGCUAUUUUCCGGCGACUUCAAAACCUUUCGGAAAGCUCUCACAAAUUCCAAUAAUUAAGACUUUGUUAUAGUCUUGGAAUUACAACACUAGUAAUACUCAGGAAAAAACCCCAAUAUUUUUAUGCCUUUCUUUCUUUGUAUAUGCCUACCCUAAGUUUUAACUAUCACUUAAAAUUAAAGUGAAGAAAUAGCUGGCCAAGAAAAUGACAUUGAAAUGGCUUUUUUCCAGAUAUAAACCAGACGUGGUGUUGUGGUUUUGGUUUAUUGCAGACCAAAAUUUCACCAAAAAUUGCAAAGCGUGUUACUUGGUUUCAACUUUACUAAUAUACCCCUUUUUCUUUUUAAUUUACAUCUUCUAAUUAGUUUCUUUUUUUAAUUAAACAAACAACACUCAGCUGAUUCAAAUUAAAUAUCGUAGAGUAAUUUACCUGAUAUAUAUAUUGGUAUUAGAAACUUUCUGCUGGUAGCUAGAAAAAUCGAGAACUACAAGUAUUCUUUAUUUUUAUUUUAAUUCUGCAUAAUGUAUUCAUGUUGGUCUGAAUUUAAUUUAAUUUAAUGAAAAUUAUGAUAAGUGAAAAUUCAUAUAACCGACUAUAACUUAUAAUUCGAGACUGCGACAUAAUUAUUCGCUCUUGUUGUAAUUUAACCUAUUGGUAUAAAAAACUUAUACUAUAGAAGUGAAAAUUAGGGUUUUUCUUAUGCUCCAUGUACAAGUCUGCAAGUCUAUGCUUAAGCCAGCAUGAAGCAUUCUCUCUUACAACAUCAUUUUGGGAGGAAUUAGUUUUGUUUUGUACAAAAAUCCCACAUUUUUUAUAUAUAUUCUUUCGUGAGUUUUAGGGAGAAUCAUAGUUUAGUGCGCUUUCCCAAUCAAAUGGUUGGCAUAUAAACGAAAAAUAAAAUAAUGAAUAAAUAAUAAUAAACAUAGGGCAUAUUUGAUUUCAUAGUUGUCCUUAUUAAUCACAAAACUUUGUCAAACUAAAUAUAUGAAUAAAUAUAACUUUUAUGAUAGGGGCAAAAUGAGCAAUUUAAUAGUCCCUCUCAAUUUAUGUGAUACUUUUAUUUUUAGUUACUUUUGAAUAUUUACAAAUAAUAUACUUUUAGGCUUUCUUAUCCUAAAAUAAUUUAUUGCCACACAAAUAUUUAUAGCUUGUUUAGAUCACAAAUUAUAAAAAAGAAAUUCUUAAACUUUAUGCCCAAUCAAACUACAAAUAAAUUGGAAUGGAAGGAGUAUACCUCUUACUAAACUGAUGUAUCUACUGUGAAAUUUUUUCACUAUCUAAUCUAAAUUUACUCUCCCUUUUACAGUAAAAAUAUUUACGCAAUUUAAUUCUCGCGAAUGUAAACCUUGGUUUCUUUUUUAUCGUAAGAAAAUUUCCUAUGUAAUAAACUAAUCUUUAACAAAACAAAGUUAGGGUUCAACUUUCCUUAACUAUUCUUUGUUCCCCAUUCAAGAAUUCUCAUUCCCACUUUUAUCAAAAUUCAACAAGAUAUAUAUUGCCCUCAAAUAAUUUUUAUAGUUCAUCGUCCCUCGAUUUGUUUUUUUGUUUCCCACCCAGUGUCCGGUAUCCACAUUGGGGCCCGACUAAAUCCAGAUUCGCGCCGGAAAGUCCCACAUUGGGGGUAAAGCGCUCCCUACAAAGGCGACUCUAACCUCAGGGGUUCAAACUCGAGACCGAUCUGGUUAAGAAUGAAGGAGUACUUACCACUCCACCACAACCCUUGUUGGUUCCCUCGAUUUGUUUAACGAGAAAGACUUAUCUAAUUGACGAACUAAUUAACAACACACACAAAAAAAAAAGGACGUCACUUCUCUCAAAAAUAAAAAUUAAAAAUAAAAUGUUAAAGCUAGCCGAUUAAUUCAUGAGUUAUACUACAGACAAAUAACAACAAUAACAAACCCAGUAAGUUAUACUACAGAAUUGUGAAAUAUUUAUUCAAAGAAGUGUAUCUGCUGGUCAAAUGAGAAUGAAAACAUGUGUGCUUAGAACUUUGAAGUAAAGGUAAGUUUAAAUGUUGAAAAAGAUAAAUACCAAUAUACACAAAAGGCAAAAGAAAUUGAAUUUAAAUUUUAUAUACUAUUUUAGAGCAAGCAAUGGAGAGGAAGGCUUGAGGUGAGAUAGACACGCUUCUUGCAACAAAAAAGGAAAGAAAAAAAAAAGAGUGACUAAUUGUCUUGUAUGAAGCCUACGGAACUGAAAGAAAGAUCUUUUCAUGGAUUUUCUCUCAUUAUUUCAUUCUUUUGGUUUUCCACCCGCUGAUUGGUACUCGCAACAGAUUCAACUAAUUCAGAUUCGCGUUAGUUCCACAUUUGAGGAUAAAACACUCAUUAAUAAAGGCAAUAUCAUACCCAGAGUUAAAACCCGAGACAUCUGAUUAAAGAUAAAGGAGUAUCACUCUACCACAACCCUUGUUGGUCAUUUAUUUCAUUUCAUUCUCUUCAUUCUUAAUUUCUUGGACUCUCACCACGUUUUAGGACGUUGAACAAAAAUAAAAUAAAGAGAAAUAACAUCAUAUUGAGCAUGUUUCUAUCUUGUGCAUACCUCAUUCCUCAUAUUUUUUUUAACCAAAGAAAAGAAAAAGAUGAAAAUUAAUAAUUUGUACCAAAUCAAACUUUACUAAAUUUAUAAUAAAAAUGAGAAUACUUAUAUGCAUUUACCUUUCUUCUUAUUCAAAUUAAAGAUAAUAUUAUUAAUGCUAAUAAUAUACACACAUUGCACAUAGUAAAAAGGACAAGUCUAGUGAACUUAGCCCCUUUGUUNGAAUGUUGAUCUUUCUAAUUUUCAUAGAAAAUUGAACAUAUCAAACGCGCAGACAGAUCAUUAGUACGUUAAUUAUAUGCAUCAUUUAUUCUGUUAUUGAUAUUUAUAAAUUGUAAAUUUAAAAUAUAAAUUAUUCAAUGCUAAAAUAUAAAUUGGGAAACUGAAUAAUAUGACCUCAUCCAACUUAAUUAGGUUUUUCUUAAAUAUAUAUGAUGAGUAUAGUAUCAUAAAUUUUUGCUGUUAUUCAAAUAAUAGGAUGGAUUACGUGAGUAUAAAUUUCUCAAACAAAUUAAAACGUUACUCACACCCAAUCUAAAUAUAACCUAUAGCUAGAUUCAAUUCACGUGCCAUUUUUGGCUCGACUUAAUUUGGACCACUUGAAGUCUUAUUUUACGUUAUAAAAAAAAGCUAAUUUUUCCCUUUUUGGUUACUUAGCAGCUGGUCAGAUAAUAGGUUUAGAAAUUCUGGAUUUUGUCCAUUUAUAGAAUGGUGAUAUUCAUAUUUAUGAUACUCUUCUGUGAUUGAAGUCUUCUUUAUUUAUAGAUGGUCCUCUAUCCAAUUUUCAUUCUAAUUAAUUCUAUCGUCUUUCACUAGAAUUUCUUAAGUUUUGCAUAAUUAUUGUAGUCAUAAUUUGGUGACAAGUGAGGCUUAUAGCUAGAAAUAUCUCAUGAUCAUCGCAUAAAUGUAAAAGAUGAGUGAAAAUAAAAAAUUAUUAAUAACCAAUAUUAAUAUUUAAUAACAUGACAGGAAUGCAAUCUCUAGUAUUUCUUUGUGGGAGCUAAGAAAAAUUACUAAUUAUCUAUGAAUCUCUUACCCAGAAUAAGCAAAAAACUGGGGGUGAAUUAUUCAAAUUGUUGCUUAAAGAGGCAAAAGCCAACAAACUGCAUGACCAGUUUAGCUUAAUAUGGGAAUGAUCAAAUCAUGGUGUAAGAAUAUACUAUAAGCCAUGCGUAUUGUUAUAGUAUUCUUUAUGAACAAUUAUU